This 761-nucleotide ribosomal RNA is filed under the name uncultured bacterium. RNAcentral describes it as "bacterial SSU rRNA". It matches the Rfam family "Bacterial small subunit ribosomal RNA", at positions 28 to 776 of the family's 1533-position model. The record is from RNAcentral.
AUUGAACGCUGGCGGCAGGCUUAACACAUGCAAGUCGAACGGUAACAGGAGAAAAGCUUGCUUUUCUUGCUGACGAGUGGCGGACGGGUGAGUAAUGCUUGGGAAUCUGCCUUAUGGAGGGGGAUAACUACGGGAAACUGUAGCUAAUACCGCGUAAUAUCUUCGGAUUAAAGUGUGGGACCUUCGGGCCACAUGCCAUAAGAUGAGCCCAAGUGAGAUUAGGUAGUUGGUGAGGUAAAGGCUCACCAAGCUGACGAUCUCUAGCUGGUUUGAGAGGAUGACCAGCCACACUGGAACUGAGACACGGUCCAGACUCCUACGGGAGGCAGCAGUGGGGAAUAUUGCACAAUGGGCGCAAGCCUGAUGCAGCCAUGCCGCGUGAAUGAAGAAGGCUUUCGGGUUGUAAAGUUCUUUCAGCGAUGAGGAAGGUUGCAUAUCUAAUAGGUAUGCAAAUUGACGUUAGUCGCAGAAGAAGCACCGGCUAACUCCGUGCCAGCAGCCGCGGUAAUACGGAGGGUGCGAGCGUUAAUCGGAAUAACUGGGCGUAAAGGGCACGCAGGCGGUUGUCUAAGUCAGAUGUGAAAGCCCCGAGCUUAACUUGGGAAUUGCAUUUGAGACUGGGCGACUAGAGUCCUCUAGGGAGGGGUAGAAUUCCACGUGUAGCGGUGAAAUGCGUAGAGAUGUGGAGGAAUACCGAAGGCGAAGGCAGCCCCUUGGAGAGAGACUGACGCUGAGGUGCGAAAGCGUGGGUAGCAAACAGG